AUCAGCAUUUAUGACCUAACAGAAUCUAAGCAUCCCUGUGUCAUUUAGGACUAUCUAGAUAAGCAAGUCCAAGUCCCACAUUCAGGUUUCAAGAAUGUUUUCAUCAUCUGAUAAGGAAACCCAGGACCCUGUACCAGCGGCCAUUCCACCUCUAUCACCAGCCCAGGGAAACGAUUUCAUCUCCUUCCUACCUCCAUAAAUGUGCCUGUCCUGGAUGGUUUAUAGAAAUACAAUCAUAAAAUA
Molecule: long non-coding RNA, 243 nt
Organism: Suricata suricatta (meerkat)
Lineage: Eukaryota; Metazoa; Chordata; Mammalia; Carnivora; Herpestidae
Exons: 2
Source: RefSeq, a predicted model, not a curated record